This 497-nucleotide ribosomal RNA is filed under the name uncultured bacterium. RNAcentral describes it as "partial 16S ribosomal RNA". It matches the Rfam family "Bacterial small subunit ribosomal RNA", at positions 28 to 507 of the family's 1533-position model. The record is from RNAcentral.
GACGAACGCUGGCGGCGUGCCUAAUACAUGCAAGUCGAGCGAACGGACGAGAAGUUUGCGUCUCUGAUGUUAGCGGCGGACGGGUGAGUAACAUGUGUAUAACCUACCUAUAAGACUGGGAUAAUCACGGGAAACCGGAUCUAAUACCGGAUAAUAUUUUGAACCGCAUGGGUCAAAAGUGAAAGUCGGUCUUUCUGUCACUUAUAGAUGCAUCCGGGCUGCAUUAGAUAGUUGGUAAGGUAACGGCUUACCAAGGCUAGGAUGCAUAGACGACCUGACAGGGUGAUCGGCCACCCUGGAAGUGAGACACGGUCCAGACUCCUGAGGGAGGACACAGUCGGGAAUCUUACGCAAUGGGGGAGAGCCUGACGGAGCAAAGCGGAGUGAGUGAUGAAGGUCUUCGGAUCGUAAAGCUCUGUUAUUCGUGAAGAACAUAUGUGUAAGUAACUGUGCACAUCUUGACGGUACCUGGUCAGAAAGCCCCGGCUAACUACGUG